AUGUCCCGAAAUGGCGAAGAGCACACAAUUGCAGAUGUACAUUUCCCAGACAUGGAGUCACACGCACCUGACAAGACAGAGUGUGUGCACGAGCACAGCUCAACCGUGCAGCCACAAGCGACUGAAGGCAUCAUAGUGGACAACCCCGCUUCCUCAGAAGAGCCACCAUUAGGCCAAAGAGUCCGCAGAAUGACGGAAAAGGGUCAAGAACAGCAUGAUGAGCAAGUAAUAAAGGUUGCACAUCGGUUCAGUGUGUGCUAUGAGAAGUGGAAGGAUGCCACUAAAGAAGCCAACCAAGCGCUGAGUGGAAAGUGCUCAGACGACCUGCUAGAUGGACAAAUUACUAAAGUACGCAAUACCUCUAGGAGUCUAAAUGACGUUUACGACGAUUGGAAACGCCUUGAGGUUCCUGACCUUAACACACGUCGCAAAAUCGACACCUGUGAAACAGUAACAAAGAAGAUGGUUAAGGAUGCAAUGGACCUUAUAGAUGCAAGGGAGGAAGCUACAGCCCAUAGGCAUACUACAAGUCAAAGACAUGAAGAACAUCGAGUCAUUGAAGAGGUAAUGUUUGUAGCCUCAGGAAGGACAGGCACUAGCUCUCGCCACACUAAGUGCUCCUCUGCAAGCAGGAAGAGUGCAGCUGCUGAGGUUGCUGCCAACAAAGCCACCUUAGAAGUACAGCUGGAGCAAGAGCAUUAUAUUAAAGAGCUUCAGAGACUGGAAGUUGAAGCCGCUCAGCUAAAAGCCAAACAAGAGGCUGAAAAUGCAGAGAGACAAAGAGUGCUAGAAGCCAAGCGCAGAGAACUAGAUCGAUUGGAGACUAUUAAGAAGCUAAAGGCUGCCGAGGCACGACAGCAAGUAUAUGACCAGAGUAUACAUUCAUGUCCGGCAACUAAGGGCGACGGCUCAGAUGAAGAAAUAAAUUAUCUUCUCCAUUGUGGCUCUGUGAAGAAAGAAGAGGAAGUCAAGCCUCAAACUAUAAAUGUUCUUCUCCAUCGUGUCUCUGUGAAGAAAGAAGAAGUCAAGCCUCAAACUAGCCCACUGCGGCACCAUUCUACACCACCAGCUGUAGCACAAGCAAGGCAAGAAAACAAAUAUGAAGAUGGCACAACAGCUCUCGUCAAAGCGCUCGCAGAAGCCAUCAGUGCGAGUCGCAUUCCUCUACCUGAACCUACAGUGUUCAGUGGUGACCCACUCCGAUUCAACGACUGGAAAGUGUCCUUUCAGACGCUCGUUGACAGGAAGAACAUACCAGCUGAAGAGAAGAUAUAUUAUCUACGCAAGUAUGUGGGUGGAUCUGCUAAAAGGGCCAUAGAGAGCUACUUUUUACUUGGCACAGAGCCAGCAUAUUAUGCAGCAUGGGACAUCCUAGAAGAGCGAUACGGCAAUCCAUUCCUCAUCGCCAAGGCCUUCAGAGAGAAGCUCGACGCGUGGCCCAAGAUAAGCUCCAAAGGCAGUAUGGAACUUCAAGAACUCGCCGACUUCCUGCGCUGCUGUGAGGCAGCCAUGUCUCAGAUCAGAGGUCUUGAAAUACUUAAUGAUUGCAACGAGAACCAGAAAAUUCUCUCUAAACUCCCAGACUGGGUGACUUCAAGGUGGAAUAGGAAAGUCAUAGAAGCAGAAGAAGACACUCGCAUGUUCCCGAGCUUCAGCCAGUUUGUCAAGUUUCUCACACGUGAAGCUAAAUUCGCUUGCAGCCCAAUAACAUCUCUUCAUGCUCUUAAGCCAAGUGAAAGGAUUCCAGACAAGUGUGUAAAGAGCGGAGGUCCUGGAGCA
Long non-coding RNA from Gadus morhua (Atlantic cod), 1779 nucleotides. The record is from Ensembl. Lineage: Eukaryota; Metazoa; Chordata; Actinopteri; Gadiformes; Gadidae.